RNAcentral lists this long non-coding RNA (1319 nucleotides) under Pan troglodytes (chimpanzee). RNAcentral describes it as "long non-coding RNA NONPTRT014815". The record is from RNAcentral. Lineage: Eukaryota; Metazoa; Chordata; Mammalia; Primates; Hominidae.
GAGAGACAAUCCUAAUCACACAAGUCCUUAAAAGCUGAGAACUUCCUCCUGCUGGGGACAGGACAGAUGAGGCAGAAGGGGAGGUUAGGGAGGUUUGAAGAGUGAGAAGAACUUCUGCAGUGGCUGACUUGGAAGAUGAAGGAGGUUAUGAACCAGGGAAUGGGGGCAGCCUCUAGAGGCUGAGAACCUGCUGACACCUACCCACAACCACUAAGGAAAUGAAGACUUUAAUUCCACAACUGCAUGCAACUAAACUCAGCCAACAACCUGAAUAAGUCUGAAAAAGGCUUCUCCAGAGCCUCCAGAUAAGAGGCCAGGCUGGCGACACACCUUGAUUUUGACCUUGUGAGACCUAGAGCAGAGAAACUAGCCAAGAUCACUCAGACUUCUGAUCUACAGAACUGUGAGACCGUAAAUUUAUGUUGUAUUAAGCCACUAAUUGUGUGGGAAUUUGUUACAGGAGCAAUAGAAAAUGAAUACACCGUCUGAUGUAGUUUAAUCAGUUGACAUUAGACUCCUCCCGUUUGUAAUAUGGAGAUUUAUUUACAAUGGCGAGAGCUGCUAUGGGGCUAUCCAUAAUAACACAGAAGUCUUGGCCGACAAACACCAGAAGGAGCUGUCUGGAAGGGGUGACACCAAGAUGUGCUACACUGAACCCAACUUCUGCAUGUUUAAGACAAGACGCAAGGUCAAAAAUUUACAUCAGGUAUCUGAAUGUGUAGCAUAUACAACUGAGUGUUGAAAGAAGACAAAAUCGUUUUCAUCACGAAGAAUAUGUGCUCAGUAAGAAUCAGAAUGUUCAAUUGUGUGAAGGUGGGAGAUGGGAAGAUUGGUAUUAUGGCCUGGAUCCAGAAAUCAGUCUUCCACUAUGGGAAAUGGGAAUUUAAAGAUGAUCAGAAGACAGUUGGGAGCAGAGUGAGAAUAAGAACCCUCAACUGCUGUCUCACCUUUCAGAUCACGAAGAAGUUUUUUACAAUGAGCAGAACACUCAACCUGAAAGCAGAAUGGAUUGAGUCACUGCAGCGUGGCAGUGGAAUGGUGCUUGAUGUUGGCAAAGGAAACAUGUACUUCUAGACUGGACAGUUUUCCCUCAGUUUACAGUUUCCAAAUAGAGACAUCACUUUGAAAUAACAUGGAGAACAUACGUGGAUGUACUGAACGAAGAAUAAAGUCUGUGUUGCAGUCCUGUCUCCAUUGACUUUUACAAAUAUGGCUUUGGAUGAAUCACCUAACUUUUAUUUUUGAGAAUUUACACUUACCAUGUAUAAAAUGAUAGUGCUAAUAUGUUUGCUGCCUACCCCAUUGGGUUUUGUGAGGAA